GAGGGAGAAACUUUCAGACUUUAUUCAAAAGAAACACCCAGAAAAAAUUGCAACUGGGCGUGCGAUGGAGCUAUUUAAUGACACUUGCCUGACUCAUUUCAGAAAUAUUCUGAAAGGGAGGAUGGAACAGAUCUCAUUGGACAGGUUUUUAUCGAAAACUCCUGUAGAUGAAAGUGAUGAAAGCGUGGUGAAAAGGGCAAAAGUCAGCAAAUAAGAUUCAGUUGUUCAGUUCAGCCUUUCUCCUCCAACUCCAUCAGCAUCUUUAAGUCGUUUGAUCUCCAAGGUAAAUGCUGUACAUUAAACUUAAUAAAACAAGUUUAUUGCACUACA
Molecule: long non-coding RNA, 330 nt
Organism: Myotis davidii
Lineage: Eukaryota; Metazoa; Chordata; Mammalia; Chiroptera; Vespertilionidae
Exons: 2
Source: RefSeq, a predicted model, not a curated record